UCCCUGGUGGCUAAGUGGUUAAAGAAUCUACCUGCCAAUGCAGGAGACACGGGUUUGAUUCCUGAUCUGGGAA
RNAcentral lists this transfer RNA (73 nucleotides) under Bos taurus (domestic cattle). It matches the Rfam family "tRNA". From Rfam's summary of the family: Transfer RNA (tRNA) molecules are approximately 80 nucleotides in length. Their secondary structure includes four short double-helical elements and three loops (D, anti-codon, and T loops). The record is from Rfam by way of RNAcentral. Lineage: Eukaryota; Metazoa; Chordata; Mammalia; Artiodactyla; Bovidae. RNAcentral also lists the same sequence under 5 other names.